UAAAACCUAAUUCUUAUUCCAAUACUCAUUCAGCUCUCAAACUUAUAAUUUGUCCAUCCCCUGUCACUGUAUUUUUCACAAUCACGAUCAUUUAGGGUUUCAAAUUACCUUCUGUUUAAUGGUCUUAUUCCUUCAUCCAUUCCACCACUAGUCCGUCUAUCAUCCAUUCGUCUGACCAUCUCCUUUCGAGGUUUGUAUUUUAGCCUCUCUCUU
This 213-nucleotide long non-coding RNA is filed under the name Gossypium barbadense (sea-island cotton). RNAcentral's name for it is "long non-coding RNA (GBAR_LNC017607)". Lineage: Eukaryota; Viridiplantae; Streptophyta; Magnoliopsida; Malvales; Malvaceae. The record is from RNAcentral.